Molecule: ribosomal RNA, 429 nt
Filed under: Bacillota bacterium
Lineage: Bacteria; Bacillati; Bacillota
Description: Firmicutes bacterium partial 16S ribosomal RNA
Rfam family: Bacterial small subunit ribosomal RNA
Source: RNAcentral
UAGGGAAUUUUCGGCAAUGGACGGAAGUCUGACCGAGCAACGCCGCGUGAGUGAAGAAGGUUUUCGGAUUGUAAAGCUCUGUUGUUAGAGAAGAACGUUGGUAGGAGUGGAAAAUCUACCAAGUGACGGUAACUAACCAGAAAGGGACGGCUAACUACGUGCCAGCAGCCGCGGUAAUACGUAGGUCCCGAGCGUUGUCCGGAGUUAUUGGGCGUAAAGCGAGCGCAGGCGGUUCUUUAAGUCUGAAGUUAAAGGCAGUGGCUUAACCAUUGUACGCUUUGGAAACUGGAGGACUUGAGUGCGGAAGGGGAGGGUGGAAUUCCAUGUGUAGCGGUGAAAUGCGUAGAUAUAGGGAGGAACACCGGUGGCGAAAGCGGCUCUCUGGUCUGUAACUGACGCGGAGGCUCGAAAGCGUGGGGAGCAAACAGG